Molecule: ribosomal RNA, 2907 nt
Filed under: Klebsiella grimontii
Lineage: Bacteria; Pseudomonadati; Pseudomonadota; Gammaproteobacteria; Enterobacterales; Enterobacteriaceae
Description: 23S ribosomal RNA
Rfam family: Bacterial large subunit ribosomal RNA
Source: RNAcentral
GGUUAAGCGACUAAGCGUACACGGUGGAUGCCCUGGCAGUCAGAGGCGAUGAAGGACGUGCUAAUCUGCGAAAAGCGUCGGUAAGGUGAUAUGAACCGUUAUAGCCGGCGAUGUCCGAAUGGGGAAACCCAGUGCAAUUCGUUGCACUAUCGUUUGAUGAAUACAUAGUCAAACGAGGCGAACCGGGGGAACUGAAACAUCUAAGUACCCCGAGGAAAAGAAAUCAACCGAGAUUCCCCCAGUAGCGGCGAGCGAACGGGGAGCAGCCCGGAGUCUGAAUCAGCUUGUGUGUUAGUGGAAGCGUCUGGAAAGUCGCAGGGUACAGGGUGAUACUCCCGUACACUAAAGCACACAGGCUGUGAACUCGAAGAGUAGGGCGGGACACGUGGUAUCCUGUCUGAAUAUGGGGGGACCAUCCUCCAAGGCUAAAUACUCCUGACUGACCGAUAGUGAACCAGUACCGUGAGGGAAAGGCGAAAAGAACCCCGGCGAGGGGAGUGAAAAAGAACCUGAAACCGUGUACGUACAAGCAGUAGGAGCCUCUUUAUGGGGUGACUGCGUACCUUUUGUAUAAUGGGUCAGCGACUUAUAUUCUGUAGCAAGGUUAACCGUAUAGGGGAGCCGCAGGGAAACCGAGUCUUAACUGGGCGUUAAGUUGCAGGGUAUAGACCCGAAACCCGGUGAUCUAGCCAUGGGCAGGUUGAAGGUUGGGUAACACUAACUGGAGGACCGAACCGACUAAUGUUGAAAAAUUAGCGGAUGACUUGUGGCUGGGGGUGAAAGGCCAAUCAAACCGGGAGAUAGCUGGUUCUCCCCGAAAGCUAUUUAGGUAGCGCCUCGUGAACUCAUCUUCGGGGGUAGAGCACUGUUUCGGCUAGGGGGUCAUCCCGACUUACCAACCCGAUGCAAACUACGAAUACCGAAGAAUGUUAUCACGGGAGACACACGGCGGGUGCUAACGUCCGUCGUGAAGAGGGAAACAACCCAGACCGCCAGCUAAGGUCCCAAAGUCAUGGUUAAGUGGGAAACGAUGUGGGAAGGCCCAGACAGCCAGGAUGUUGGCUUAGAAGCAGCCAUCAUUUAAAGAAAGCGUAAUAGCUCACUGGUCGAGUCGGCCUGCGCGGAAGAUGUAACGGGGCUAAACCAUGCACCGAAGCUGCGGCAGCGACACUAUGUGUUGUUGGGUAGGGGAGCGUUCUGUAAGCCGUUGAAGGUGGCCUGUGAGGGUUGCUGGAGGUAUCAGAAGUGCGAAUGCUGACAUAAGUAACGAUAAUGCGGGUGAAAAACCCGCACGCCGGAAGACCAAGGGUUCCUGUCCAACGUUAAUCGGGGCAGGGUGAGUCGACCCCUAAGGCGAGGCCGAAAGGCGUAGUCGAUGGGAAACAGGUUAAUAUUCCUGUACUCGGUGUUACUGCGAAGGGGGGACGGAGAAGGCUAUGUUGGCCGGGCGACGGUUGUCCCGGUUUAAGCAUGUAGGCGGAUGUUCCAGGUAAAUCCGGAACGUUACUAACGCUGAGGUGUGAUGACGAGGCACUACGGUGCUGAAGUGACAAAUGCCCUGCUUCCAGGAAAAGCCUCUAAGCAUCAGGUAACAUCAAAUCGUACCCCAAACCGACACAGGUGGUCAGGUAGAGAAUACCAAGGCGCUUGAGAGAACUCGGGUGAAGGAACUAGGCAAAAUGGUGCCGUAACUUCGGGAGAAGGCACGCUGAUAUGUAGGUGAAGUGGUUUACCCAUGGAGCUGAAAUCAGUCGAAGAUACCAGCUGGCUGCAACUGUUUAUUAAAAACACAGCACUGUGCAAACACGAAAGUGGACGUAUACGGUGUGACGCCUGCCCGGUGCCGGAAGGUUAAUUGAUGGGGUUAUCCGUAAGGAGAAGCUCUUGAUCGAAGCCCCGGUAAACGGCGGCCGUAACUAUAACGGUCCUAAGGUAGCGAAAUUCCUUGUCGGGUAAGUUCCGACCUGCACGAAUGGCGUAAUGAUGGCCAGGCUGUCUCCACCCGAGACUCAGUGAAAUUGAACUCGCUGUGAAGAUGCAGUGUACCCGCGGCAAGACGGAAAGACCCCGUGAACCUUUACUAUAGCUUGACACUGAACACUGGUCCUUGAUGUGUAGGAUAGGUGGGAGGCUUUGAAGCGUGGACGCCAGUCUGCGUGGAGCCAUCCUUGAAAUACCACCCUUUAAUGGCUGGUGUUCUAACGUGGGCCCCUAAUCGGGGUUGCGGACAGUGUCUGGUGGGUAGUUUGACUGGGGCGGUCUCCUCCUAAAGAGUAACGGAGGAGCACGAAGGUCAGCUAAUCCUGGUCGGACAUCAGGAGGUUAGUGCAAUGGCAUAAGCUGGCUUGACUGCGAGCGUGACGGCGCGAGCAGGUGCGAAAGCAGGUCAUAGUGAUCCGGUGGUUCUGAAUGGAAGGGCCAUCGCUCAACGGAUAAAAGGUACUCCGGGGAUAACAGGCUGAUACCGCCCAAGAGUUCAUAUCGACGGCGGUGUUUGGCACCUCGAUGUCGGCUCAUCACAUCCUGGGGCUGAAGUAGGUCCCAAGGGUAUGGCUGUUCGCCAUUUAAAGUGGUACGCGAGCUGGGUUUAGAACGUCGUGAGACAGUUCGGUCCCUAUCUGCCGUGGGCGCUGGAGAAUUGAGGGGGGCUGCUCCUAGUACGAGAGGACCGGAGUGGACGCAUCACUGGUGUUCGGGUUGUCAUGCCAAUGGCAUUGCCCGGUAGCUAAAUGCGGAAGAGAUAAGUGCUGAAAGCAUCUAAGCACGAAACUUGCCCCGAGAUGAGUUCUCCCUGACUCCUUGAGAGUCCUGAAGGAACGUUGAAGACGACGACGUUGAUAGGCCGGGUGUGUAAGCGCAGCGAUGCGUUGAGCUAACCGGUACUAAUGAACCGUGAGGCUUAACCUU